Molecule: unclassified non-coding RNA, 286 nt
Filed under: Tremellomycetes sp.
Lineage: Eukaryota; Fungi; Basidiomycota; Tremellomycetes
Description: partial contains 5.8S ribosomal RNA, internal transcribed spacer 2, and large subunit ribosomal RNA
Source: RNAcentral
CGCAUCUUGCGCCUGGUGGUAUUCCGCCAGGUAUGCCUGUCUGAGUGUCCCAUUCUUCUCAAAAAAAAGGAUUUGCUUUCGAGCUCGUCCAUUUUUUGGAUCAUGGAUUCGGUUGGAGCCUUGCGCCCAAACCAAUCUUAAACAAAGUCGGUCUUUUGAUUUCGGCAACGGCUUGACCGAGUGUUGUAUCAUCCUCACUUGGGACGUUGUGAAUUCGUUGGCCACGAACCACCAAAAACUUUACGUUUUAGACCUCAGAUCAGGUAGGAUUACCCGCUGAACUUAA